Molecule: long non-coding RNA, 399 nt
Filed under: Oreochromis niloticus (Nile tilapia)
Lineage: Eukaryota; Metazoa; Chordata; Actinopteri; Cichliformes; Cichlidae
Description: lncRNA (ENSONIG00000039830.1)
Source: RNAcentral
AUGAAGUGGUCAGUAUUCUGCUGGUUGGCGUUUUUUGUUUCUCUGGACAUGCUCUCUCAGAAUUGUUUUUCAGAAAAUGGCGCCUGUACAUCCUGUGCUGAAAAGUGUGGUGAAAGCAUGACUAACUGCUGUUUUCAGACUGUGUGGAACCCUGUGCAAAAUGGCACCAAUGAAGACCCCAUUGAAACCAUGAAAAUCCUAGAAAAGAUUCUCGAGGAAACAAAAGUGGAAGGGGCCAUAUCGAUGCAUUCCUCUGAUUUAGUUGUUCUCCUGUUCAAACCCAAUCGUACCUCUGACGACCUUGAAAUUUUCGCCAGUGACAGCGAGGUAUGAAAAAAAUAUAAUAAUUUUGACAUAACAUUUUCACUCACUGGCAGUUUAUUUGAUACAUAAUUUGUG